Molecule: long non-coding RNA, 203 nt
Filed under: Vigna radiata
Lineage: Eukaryota; Viridiplantae; Streptophyta; Magnoliopsida; Fabales; Fabaceae
Description: long non-coding RNA (VRAD_LNC004241)
Source: RNAcentral
GAUGCUAAAUUUUUUAUCUAUCUACUGAAGGAUACAAGGUAAGUACACCUACUGAAGGGUGUUGGAAGGAGAAGUACUUACUGAUGAGUGCUAAACAGGUUUGGGUCAGGCUCGUGACGUUAAACAAGCGCUACCUGGACGGCAAUCCAGUUGAUUGUUUUGUUUUCAUCCUGUGUGAUGAGUCAAUAUUUUAUCGACUUCAC